Molecule: ribosomal RNA, 253 nt
Filed under: uncultured bacterium
Lineage: Bacteria
Description: partial 16S ribosomal RNA
Rfam family: Bacterial small subunit ribosomal RNA
Source: RNAcentral
UACGGAGGGUGCGAGCGUUGUCCGGAAUCACUGGGCGUAAAGGGCGCGUAGGCGGCCUGAUAAGUAGGGGGUGAAAUCCUGCGGCUUAACCGCAGGGCUGCCUUCUAAACUGUCAGGCUGGAGCACAGUAGAGGCAGGUGGAAUUCCCGGUGUAGCGGUGAAAUGCGUAGAUAUCAGGAGGAACACCGGUGGCGAAGGCGGCUCUCUGGACGGAUACUGACGCUGAGGCGCGAAAGCGUGGGGAUCAAACAGG